This 433-nucleotide ribosomal RNA is filed under the name uncultured bacterium. Its description in RNAcentral is "partial 16S ribosomal RNA". It matches the Rfam family "Bacterial small subunit ribosomal RNA", at positions 29 to 507 of the family's 1533-position model. The record is from RNAcentral.
AACGAACGCUGGCGGCAUGCCUAACACAUGCAAGUCGAACGAGACCUUCGGGUCUAGUGGCGCACGGGUGCGUAACGCGUGGGAACCUGCCCUUAGGUUCGGAAUAACUCCCCGAAAGGGGUGCUAAUACCGGAUAAUGUCUUCGGACCAAAGAUUUAUCGCCUUUGGAUGGGCCCGCGUUGGAUUAGCUAGUUGGUAGGGUAAAAGCCUACCAAGGCGACGAUCCAUAGCUGGUCUGAGAGGAUGAUCAGCCACACUGGGACUGAGACACGGCCCAGACUCCUACGGGAGGCAGCAGUGGGGAAUAUUGGACAAUGGGCGAAAGCCUGAUCCAGCAAUGCCGCGUGAGUGAUGAAGGCCUUAGGGUUGUAAAGCUCUUUUAUCCGGGAUGAUAAUGACAGUACCGGGAGAAUAAGCUCCGGCUAACUCCGUG